RNAcentral lists this unclassified non-coding RNA (270 nucleotides) under Hevea brasiliensis (rubber tree). Lineage: Eukaryota; Viridiplantae; Streptophyta; Magnoliopsida; Malpighiales; Euphorbiaceae. The record is from RNAcentral.
CUAGUUCCACUUUUUUCUUGAAAUCUUUUGAAAAAAAUGAAGGCAGAAAGACUUUUUAUUUUCGUCCUUCCUUGUUGGAAGAAAUAGAAUGGAGUUCCCUUCAGAAUAAGCAGUUGAUUUAUGUAAAUCAGAAAAAGGCCAAGUCUUUUGUUGUUGAUCGUUCAAAAGAAUCCAUGGAAAUGGAAUUCUACGCAUACCCAUCUCGUGUUUUCCCUCUUACCUCUUCUAUUUGUUCGUUUUGUAUAAGGGAUUUGGUUGAUAGGGCUAAAG